This 320-nucleotide unclassified non-coding RNA is filed under the name uncultured Ascomycota. RNAcentral's name for it is "sequence contains ITS1". The stretch from base 1 to 106 matches the Rfam family "5.8S ribosomal RNA", at positions 50 to 154 of the family's 154-position model. The record is from RNAcentral. Lineage: Eukaryota; Fungi; Ascomycota.
GAAAUGCGAUAAGUAAUGCGAAUUGCAGAAUUUCCGUGAGUCAUCGAAUCUUUGAACGCACAUUGCGCCCAUUGGCAUUCCGAUGGGCAUGCCUGUUCGAGCGUCAUUAUCCUCCCUCAAACCCCUGGGUUUGGUGUUGGACUCGUGUUGUGCGGUACUGGCACAACUGGUCUGAAAGACAAUGACGGCGUCCGUGGGACCCUCGGUGCAACGAGCUUUUCGAAGCACGCGUCGAGUGUUUACAGUCCCUCCGGGCCGGUCUCCUUUAUCAUUUUUCUAAGGUUGACCUCGGAUCAGGUAGGAAUACCCGCUGAACUUAA